UAGGGAAUCUUCGGCAAUGGACGGAAGUCUGACCGAGCAACGCCGCGUGAGUGAAGAAGGUUUUCGGAUCGUAAAGCUCUGUUGUUAGAGAAGAACGUUGGUAGGAGUGGAAAAUCUACCAAGUGACGGUAACUAACCAGAAAGGGACGGCUAACUACGUGCCAGCAGCCGCGGUAAUACGUAGGUCCCGAGCGUUGUCCGGAUUUAUUGGGCGUAAAGCGAGCGCAGGCGGUUCUUUAAGUCUGAAGUUAAAGGCAGUGGCUUAACCAUUGUACGCUUUGGAAACUGGAGGACUUGAGUGCAGAAGGGGAGAGUGGAAGUCCAUGUGUAACGGUGAAAUGCGUAGAUAUAUGGAGGAACACCGGUGGCGAAAGCGGCUCUCUGGUCUGUAACUGACGCUGAGGCUCGAAAGCGUGGGGAGCAAACAGG
Molecule: ribosomal RNA, 429 nt
Filed under: Bacillota bacterium
Lineage: Bacteria; Bacillati; Bacillota
Description: Firmicutes bacterium partial 16S ribosomal RNA
Rfam family: Bacterial small subunit ribosomal RNA
Source: RNAcentral